Long non-coding RNA from Rhagoletis pomonella (apple maggot), 4645 nucleotides. RefSeq lists it as uncharacterized. NCBI's taxonomy places the organism in Eukaryota, Metazoa, Arthropoda, Insecta, Diptera, Tephritidae. The record is from RefSeq and is a predicted model, not a curated record. The transcript has 2 exons.
CCAAAGUUCUACGUGGACGGGCCUUAAUUGUGCUUGAAAGUCGUCACUUCGAUAAUCACUUCACUUUUCCUCCCAAGUUACUCCGAAACACUUCACUUUUAGUGUGUUUUCACUUCGCUCGAAAAUUAGCAAACGGCAGCACUGGUCAAAGUGCUUAUCUUUUCGAUAAUUUUCUCGUCAAUGUUUUGAUAGGCACAGUUGAUUGCCCCUCCCUCUUAUACUACGUUUACAUAUAAGUAGAUUGAGAUUAUAUUUAUAUGUAAAGUAUAAUCUCAAUCAAAGCACGUUUUUUAAUCUCCAACGGGGCACAGACAAAUCUCAGAUUAUUAGCUGUCAAUUUGUUGUGCUUGUUGUUCUCACAUCUCAAGGAAAAUUUAAGUUCCUUCUUUUCCGUGGUCAAUUUUUUCUGAUAUAUUAAGCAAUUUAAAUAUAUUUUAACUUAAUAUUUGUUUAAAAAUACCUUUAUCGGUUUAAUCUGAGAUUAUUUAAUAACUACAGAUUAACGAGGGACAAGUUUUGUAUGGCUAAUCUCUUUUUCUAACUAAAGAUUAGGGAGUUAAGCUCGAAAAUGAGGAUAAUUUACCUAUAUUUAAACCUAGUGAUAUGUAUUAUGUGUUUUGCCCCGUCUGGCAUCACCUUUAGUACAUCUUGUGUUCAAUUGUAGGCAUAAUACAUUGCAUCACUUUAAGAACACACCAUGUUUCAUUUCUAAUAUAUUACAUUACUUUAUGAACACAUUACGUUACUUCUGUUAUAUUACACCAACUCGCUACUAUGCAUAUAUAUAUAAUUGAUAUAUGAAUAAAGCGGCUACUCGCAGCUUAACAUCUAAAAAGUGAAGUCAUCGUACUGGCGACGAGAUAAUUAGAGCUUAUUAAGCACUGUAUAUACAGUUAACAUACCGUUCUUUUUUCUUAUACGAACAAGUAUAUAUACAUAUACUUCAACUAAGGCGAUGCUAGGAAACGAUUCUGCUAACGGAGCGGGUUUUGUGAUAAAGGCGACCAAUGCGCCGGAAUUCUGCCCAGCACGGAAACUUGGAGCAUCUGGAAAGAAAAACUAGAAAUCCAUUUUAGUGAAAUAAAUUGUACUGACGACAAUGAAAAAAAGGCGGUUUUACUAAAGUCAGUAGGGUCGGAGCCGUACACUCUUUUGCACAAUUUGUGUUCUCCAGAUUCUCCCGUGUCAAAAACGUUCAAGGAAUUGUGUAGCAUUUUAAAUACCCACUACACACCGCCAACAAUUGUGUUUCAUGAGCCCAAAAUGUUCCACAAAUCUACCAAAGGCAGUGAAGAAUCGAUUUCCACGGGGUACGCUAGAGUAAAAAAGUUAGCACUGAACUGCAAAUUCGGUGAGCAUUUAAACGCAUUUGUAUUAGACCAAUUUAUGAUGGGCUUACCAGAAGGAAUCUUUGAAAGAUAGUGCGAAGAAGACGACCACUUAACCCUUGAAACUGCACUCAGGAAGGCACUGAUAAUAGAAUUAAAGCAAACUUCAAAGGUUAAUCAAGCGGAAGAGUCUAACGUCAAUUACAUCAAAAGGAGUGCAAGCAACAAGCAUAUACGAAGCAGCGGUGGAGAUGGCGGUACCAGUGGUGAACGGCCUAAGGGAAGCAACGACAGGAACAAAAAAGGCACUAGCAAUAACAACAAGACGUCACAUGUUGACAGAGGCUACAGGAAAGCUUGUUCACACGGUGGCUGGCGAAAUCAUGACUCGCAUCAAUGCAAAUUUAAAAAACAGCAAAUGUCACGCUUGUGGAAAAACAGGACACUUGGCAUCUGUGUGCUAUUCCAAUUCUAAUAAAACUAUUAAUUACUUAUCAGAUUCUGAUAAAAGUAGCCAGAUUCUAAUGAUAAUUUAAAUUUUUCUGUUUAUAGCGUAUCCGGCAGCAGUCCAUAUUAUGUUUACUCAUUACCAGUUGAAAUUGAUGGUGUGAAAUUGGAAGUUGCUUGUGACACCGGUGCUCCAAGUACUUUGAUCCCACUGUUACUCUUCCAGAAUUGGCCCAACGAAAGAAUAUUGAGGCCAAGUAAAACUCCGUAUGUAAAUUAUAGUCGGGAUAAAAUCGAUUUAUCCGGUGAGUACGAUGCUUCAAUAACGUAUCAAGGUGCCACAAAAAAGCGUUAAAAAAACUAAAAAUCCACCGUUGCUAAGACGAACAUUUUUGAGAACGUUUAAAUUCGAAUUGUGUCAAAUAAAUUCAAUCGGUGCCAAUCGAAAUUUUUCGGUACUCACUGAUCAAAUUAAAGAUAAAUUUUCGAAACCUUUUAGCGAUGGUUUAGGCCUUUAAAAAACAACAAAAUAUCGUUAUCGGUGUGUGAAAACGCCAAACCAGUUUUCUGUAAGCCGCGACCAUUACCACUCGCUUGGAAAGACCGAAUUAAAAGGCAAUUAAGAGACCUAAUAUCUAAGAAUGUCUUAGAGCCCGUGGAUAAUUUGGAGUGGGGAACUCCUUUAGUGCCAAUUUUAAAACCAAACGUUGAAUUGCGCAUUUGCGGUGACUAUAAAGUCAUGAUCAAUAAAUAUUUAAUAGAUUAUAAAUAUCCGUUACCACGGAUAGACGAAAUUUUCGCUGCAUUGCAAGGCGGCAAGCUAUUCACCAAGUUAGACUUAUCCAAUGCAUAUAACCAGUUAGAACUAGAUGAAGAAUCACAGCUCUUAUGUACAUGGAGUACAUACAUUGGGACCCUCAAAAUGAAGCAUAUGCCUUUUGGCAUAAAGCCAGCCGCAGCUAUAUUCCAAAAAAAAAAAUGGAAAAUCUACUCCACGGAAUUCCGUGCGUGGUGGUAUAUCAAGAUGACAUUACAGUCACAGGCAAAGAUUUGCAGCAACAUAUUACACACUUAAAACUUGUACUCAGAAAACUAGAAUGUGCAGGUCUCAAAGUAAAUUUAAGCAAAUGCGCAUUUUUUCAAAAACAAAUUAAUUAUCUAGGAUUUACUUUAGAUGAGCAUGGGCUACGCAAAAAUGAGGAACGUGUUUCAAGCAUAUUAAAGGCACCAACUCCUAGUAAUACUUCCGAGGUUAAAGCUUUGCUCGGAAUGGUAAACUAUUAUUCCAAAUUUUUCGAGCAAGAUGUCUCCCCUUUAUGAAUUGCUACAAAAAAACGUAAAGUUCUAUUGGUCACGUAAAUGCCAAGAGGCGUAUGACACUAUAAAGAAGGAUGUUACAUCUGAUCAACUCCUGACACAUUUUAAUCCAAAUCUGCCCAUUAUUUUAACGACAGACGCAUGUAGCAAUGCAGUCGCUGGGGUUCUAGCUCACAAAUUUUCAAACAAUGACAUCAAACCGAUAGCCUUUGUUUCUAGGGCACUAUCAAAGAGUGACAAAAAUUACAGCAGUCUUGAAAAAGCUCAAGCUUUAACUACUCGAUAGAAUAUGUAAAGGGUAGUUCGAACACUGCGGAUAGUUUGCCGCGAAUUCCACAACUUCAAUGCAAAAAAGAGCAUAAAGAAAAUAGUUUUAUAAAUUUCGUGGAAGCAGAGAAUUACUUAAACUUUAAUUAUAAUGUGAUUGCCAAAGAGACAAGACGAGAUGCUGUAUUAAUAUUCUUUAUAUUGUCUAAAUUAUGCGCGGCCAUUCAGAAUGGUACAGUGAAAGAUUUUAUAAUUUUUUGUGUCACAGAAUUGAAACAGUACCUUCUAGGUAGUCAUUUCACUUUACGCACUGACCACAAACCACUGUUGUCAAUAUUUGGAGAUAAGGGCUUGCCCAUUAUGGCAGCAGCUCGUAUGCAACGGUGGGCAUUCACUCUCUCAGGCUUUAACUACUCGAUAGAAUAUGUAAAGGGUAGUUCGAACACUGCGGAUAGUUUGUCGCGAAUUCCACAACUUCAAUGCAAAAAAGAGCAUAAAGAAAAUAGUUUUAUAAAUUUGCGGACUGAGGUCAACAGAGCACACACUUGUAAGUGGAGCUACCAUAGUUCAGUGACGAGGACACAACCACAAUCAGCCUAGAGGCGAGCGGACGAAGGGCCAGGGUGACAUCCAUGUACCUGGCCCACGGCAAGCCAAUCCCAACGACAGCGGUCGCAAAGCUGGGACCGGGCUUUGGUCCUGGGAGGGGAUGCGAACGCACACCACAGCACGUGGGGCAGCGGAGAUAUCAAUGAACGAGGUGAGUUACUUUUUGAAUACAUACUUAGAACAAACUCAGUCAUAAGUAAUAGGGGUAGCGAGCUUACCUUUAUAACCAGAAGCACAAAAGAGGUCCUGGACGUAACCCUCGUUUCAGGGGAUGCGGAAACUAUGGCCUGAAAUUAGAGGAUGCUUGAUGAGCACUCCUUCUCUGACCAUCGCUACAUACAUUUCGUCUUAGAGGGGGUUCCGUCCAAGAUGCCCUCCAUUAGAAACUUAAAAAACGCCAACUGGCAUAAAUAUAGGGAGGCGCUUGGCAAACCACUCUCAGAAAUCACAUUAUCAAUACCAGAUAACUCUAGGGAUCUGGAUAGCCUGUUCCAUCGUUUCACGGCAACAUGUGGCAAGGCUUUGGAUCACCUUGGUGUCCCUAGAAAUAGAUGAGGCCCGUAAACUCUGUCGAAAAGCCUUUAAUCUUGCUAAAUCCUCGGGUAGUAAUAUGCAAUGGGAAACCUAUAAGUCGAACUUAAUACCAUGUCCCCACCAAAAAGUUAACCAUCUCAAAU